UUCUUUUUUUUUCUUCUUUCUCGUCUCUCUCUGCUCCUCCUCCGAAAACACCCCCCUCCACUUCUCUCCUCGAUUUCAUCUACUUAGGGCGUAAUUCCGAACAAAGCCAAAGACUUAAAGUUGUUAUACGGAGCGCGGGCUUCCUAUCCAUCCGAGAAAAAUCAUGAUCGGACCUCGUGGGGCUACGGUUGACUUGGUCAAAGGGUCGGGUUUUGCUCAAAACCCUUGAGGACAGUUUUGGUCCGUUGAUUCUCGUUCGUCUGUUUUGAUCUGUAAGAUGGGAUCUAUACUCUUCAUACUCCUCGAAGCCGGUAAGAUGGAAUCUGUACUCUUCGUACCAAAGCCGUACUCGAUGUGUGCAUAUGGGAUAGUGUACUUGGAUAGCUUUUGUAGCUGUUUUCGAUCUAGCAAGUGCCCUUCCAACAUUCCAGAAUCCAUUCUCUCUCUCGCUCUCGGAAGGUGAACAGUGAGUCAUUGACUACCCAAUCUCUAGUACUUUAUGUGUUAGUAGCUCGUAUUUAACUUGGUGGAUACCUCUAACCUGGUUUUAUGCCAAACCUGAUGUGUAACAAAGCUAGGCUAAAUAUUGAAUUUGUUUUUAGUUAGUAUAGUUAGUUUUAUUUGAUUGCAUUGCUUAGCCGAAGUGGUGGCAUAACCCCUCGCAUAUUCUGUUUGCUGAGUUGAGGUGGCGGCCUAGUCCCUCCAGUCUGUUAGUUUGUUGUUAGUUUGUUAGUCUGUUAGCUGUUUAUUUGAUUGCAUUUCAUGAGCGUUAAUUUUUUGCACAAUAAGAAACAUGUGGACUGGGAGGCAACCGAAAAUUGAAAUUGGUGAUAUAUUCACUUGUCGUGGAUUGCAAUACUGGCGUGUCUUGAUGAGAAUACAUUUGUAAGAGCAUGUGUUU
Molecule: long non-coding RNA, 901 nt
Organism: Rhododendron vialii
Lineage: Eukaryota; Viridiplantae; Streptophyta; Magnoliopsida; Ericales; Ericaceae
Exons: 3
Source: RefSeq, a predicted model, not a curated record